This 369-nucleotide ribosomal RNA is filed under the name uncultured archaeon. RNAcentral's name for it is "bacterial SSU rRNA". It matches the Rfam family "Archaeal small subunit ribosomal RNA", at positions 501 to 875 of the family's 1478-position model. The record is from RNAcentral.
UUAUUGGGCCUAAGCAUCCGUAGCUGGCUGGGCAAGUCCCCUGNUAAAUCCACCGAUUUAAUCGAUUGGGUGCGGGGGAUACUGCUCGGCUAGGGGACGGGAGAGGCAGACGGUAUUUCCGGGGUAGGGGUGAAAUCCUAUAAUCCCGGGAGGACCACCAGUGGCGAAGGCUGUCUGCUAGAACGUGCCCGACGGUGAGGGAUGAAAGCUGGGGGAGCGAACCGGAUUAGAUACCCGGGUAGUCCCAGCUGUAAACGAUGCANGCUAGGUGUUUGGGCGCACGUCGCUCUAGUGCCGCAGGGAAGCCGUUAAGCCUGCCGCCUGGGGAGUACGGCCGCAAGGCUGAAACUUAAAGGAAUUGGCGGGGGA